RNAcentral lists this ribosomal RNA (460 nucleotides) under uncultured bacterium. Its description in RNAcentral is "partial 16S ribosomal RNA". It matches the Rfam family "Bacterial small subunit ribosomal RNA", at positions 338 to 795 of the family's 1533-position model. The record is from RNAcentral.
CCUACGGGAGGCAGCAGUGAGGAAUAUUGGUCAAUGGGCGGAAACCUGAACCAGCCAAGUAGCGUGCAGGAUGACGGCCCUACGGGUUGUACACUGCUUUUAUACGGUAAUAACGCGCCUUACGUGUAGGGCUUUGCAUGUACCGUAUGAAUAAGGACCGGCUAAUUCCGUGCCAGCAGCCGCGGUAAUACGGACGGUCCGGGCGUUAUCCGGAUUUAUUGGGUUUAAAGGGAGCGUCGGCCGCACGUCAAGCGUGCUGUGAAAUGGCCGGUGUCAACCCGGGCCUUGCAGCGCGGACUGGCGUGCUUGAGUCCGCGGAAAGCAGGCGGAAUUCGGCGUGUAGCGGUGAAAUGCUUAGAUAUGACGAAGAACCCCGAUUGCGAAGGCAGCUUGCUGCAGCGGAACUGACGCUGAUGCUCGAAAGCGCGGGUAUCGAACAGGAUUAGAUACCCGGGUAGUC